This is a non-coding RNA of Halenospora varia, 89 nucleotides long. The record is from the annotation of a GenBank genome assembly. Lineage: Eukaryota; Fungi; Ascomycota; Leotiomycetes; Helotiales; Solenopeziaceae.
GCCCCGCUAGCUCAAUGGUCAGAGCGUGAGACUUUUACGAUGUAAAAUGGGUGAUCUCAAGGUUGCGGGUUCGAGUCCCGCGUGGGGCU